UGCAGUCGAACGAAGUAGCAAUACUUGGUGGCAGACGGGUGAGUAACAUGUAGGUAUCUACCCUUUGGCCUGGAAUAACACGAGGAAACUUGUGCUAAUACUGGAUAAGUCUUUACGGAGAAAGCUUUAUGCACCAUUGGAUGAGCCUGCACUUGAUUAGUUUGUUGGUGGGGUAAUGGCCUACCAAGACUGUGAUCAAUAGCUGAUUUGAGAGGAUGAUCAGCCACAUUGGGACUGAGACACGGCCCAAACUCCUACGGGAGGCAGCAGUGGGGAAUCUUGCACAAUGGAGGAAACUCUGAUGCAGCGAUGCCGCGUGAGUGAAGAAGGCCCUUGGGUUGUAAAGCUCUUUCGUCGGGGAAGAAAAUGACUGUACCCGAAUAAGAAGGUCCGGCUAACUUCGUGCCAGCAGCCGCGGUAAUACGAAGGGACCUAGCGUAGUUCGGAAUUACUGGGCUUAAAGAGUUCGUAGGUGGUUGAAAAAGUUGGUGGUGAAAUCCCAAGGCUUAACCUUGGAACUGCCACCAAAACUUUUUAACUGGAGUAUGAUAGAGGAAAGUGGAAUUUCUAGUGUAGAGGUGAAGUUCGUAGAUAUUAGAAAGAACACCGAUUGCGAAGGCAACUUUCUGGAUCAUUACUGACACUGAGGAGCGAAAGCAUGGGUAGCGAAGAGGAUUAGAUACCCUCGUAGUCCAUGCUGUAAACGAUGUGUGCUA
This 716-nucleotide ribosomal RNA is filed under the name uncultured Candidatus Pelagibacter sp. Its description in RNAcentral is "bacterial SSU rRNA". It matches the Rfam family "Bacterial small subunit ribosomal RNA", at positions 56 to 818 of the family's 1533-position model. The record is from RNAcentral. Lineage: Bacteria; Pseudomonadati; Pseudomonadota; Alphaproteobacteria; Candidatus Pelagibacterales; Candidatus Pelagibacteraceae.